RNAcentral lists this long non-coding RNA (1012 nucleotides) under Homo sapiens (human). Its description in RNAcentral is "non-protein coding lnc-OCM2-1:1". The record is from RNAcentral. Lineage: Eukaryota; Metazoa; Chordata; Mammalia; Primates; Hominidae.
CAUUAAGGACUGGUUUUUAUCUUUUAUUUUUCCAAUCCUCUUUCCUUCUCAAGGUGUCCAAGACACACAGAGCCACAGAAUCUCACAGAUGUCUGAGAAUUCCUCCUCCUGGGACUCUCAGAGGAUCCAGAACUGCAGCCGGUCCUCGCUUUGCUCUCCCUGUCCCUGUCCAUGUAUCUGGUCAUGGUGCUGAGGAACCUGCUCAGCAUCCUGGCUGUCAGCUCUGUCUCUCCCCUCCACACCCCCACCUGUGCUGGGCUGACAUCGGUUUCACCUUGGCCACGGUUCCCAAGAUGAUUGUGGACAUGCAGUCGCAUAGCAGAGUCAUCUCUCAUGCGGGCUGUCUGACGCAGAUGUCUUUCUUCAUCCUUUUUGCAUGUAUAGAAGGCAUGCUCCUGACUGUGAUGGCCUAUGACUGCUUUGUAGCCAUCUGUCGCCCUCUGCACUACCCAGUCAUCGUGAAUCCUCACCUCUGUGUCUUCUUCGUUUUGGUGUCCUUUUUCCUUAGCCUGUUGGAUUCCCAGCUGCACAGUUGAAUUGUGUUACAAUUCACCAUCAUCAAGAAUGUGGAAAUCUCUCAUUUUUUCUGUGACCCCUCUCAACUUCUCAAACUUGCCUGUUCUGACAGCGUCAUCAAUAGCAUAUUCAUAUAUUUCGAUAGUACUAUGUUUGGUUUUCUUCCCAUUUCAGGGAUCCUAUGGUCUUACUAUAAAAUCAUCCCCUCCAUUCUAAGGAUUUCAUCAUCAUAUGGGAAGUAUAAAGCCUUCUCCACAUGUGCCUCUCACCUAGCAGUUGUUUGCUGAUUUUAUGUAACAGGCAUUGGCAUGUACCUGACUUCAGCUGUGUCACCACCCCCCAGCAAUGGUGUAGUGGCGUCAGUGAUGUAUGCUGCGGUCACUCCCAUGCUGAACCCUUUCAUCUACAGCCUGAGAAACAGGGACAUACAAAGUGCCCUGCGGAGGGUGCUCAGCAGAACAGUCGAAUUUCAUGAUCUGUUCCAUCCUUUUUCUUG